This 876-nucleotide ribosomal RNA is filed under the name uncultured euryarchaeote. RNAcentral's name for it is "bacterial SSU rRNA". It matches the Rfam family "Archaeal small subunit ribosomal RNA", at positions 460 to 1337 of the family's 1478-position model. Lineage: Archaea; Methanobacteriati; Methanobacteriota. The record is from RNAcentral.
AGCCGCCGCGGUAACACCAGCGCCACGAGUGGUGGCCAUUAUUAUUGGGCUUAAAGCGUCCGUAGCCGGUUUAGUAAGUCUUUUGUGAAAUCGUUCAGCUUAACUGAACGGCAUGCAGAGGAAACUACUAAACUUGGAACCGGGAGGGGUCGGAAGUAUUCUUGGGGGAGCGGUAAAAUGUUAUAAUCCCAAGAGGACUACCGGUGGCGAAGGCGUCCGACCAGAACGGAUUCGACGGUGAGGGACGAAGGCUAGGGGAGCGAACCGGAUUAGAUACCCGAGUAGUCCUAGCAGUAAACUCUGCGAGCUAGGUGUUGCAUAUUCUACGAGAAUAUGCAGUGUCGAAGCGAAAGCAUUAAGCUCGCCGCCUGGGGAGUAUAGUCGCAAGACCGAAACUUAAAGGAAUUGGCGGGGGAGCACUACAAGGGGUGCGGCGUGCGGUUUAAUCUAACUCAACGCACAGAAUCUCACCAGCAGCGACGGCAGAAUGAAAGUCAGUCUAAAGGGCUUACUUGACGGGCCGAGAGGUGGUGCAUGGCCGUCGUCAGCUCGUGUCGUGAGAUGUCCAGUUAAGUCUGGCAACGAGCGAGACCUGUACCCACAAUUGCUAACGACUCUUUAGAGGAUUGAGCACAAUGUGGGGACUGCCUUGGAAACAAGGAGGAAGGUGCAGGCUACGGUAGGUCUGUAUGCCCCGAAUCUGCUGGGCUACACGCGCGCAACAAUGGUGAAGACAAUGGGAUGCAACUCCGAAAGGAGAAGCUAAUCCUCGAAACUUCAUCCAAGUCCAGAUUGAGGGUUGUAACUCACCCUCAUGACGCCGGAAUCCCUAGUAAUCAGAGUUUAGCAUACUCCGGUGAAUAUGUCCCUGCUCCU